GACGAACGCUGGCGGCGUGCUUAACACAUGCACGUCGAACGGUAAGGCCCUUCGGGGUACACGAGUGGCGAACGGGUGAGUAACACGUGGGUGAUCUGCCCUGUACUUCGGGAUAAGCCUGGGAAACUGGGUCUAAUACCGGAUAGGACCACUGCCUGCAUGGGUGGUGGUGGAAAGCUUUUGCGGUGUGGGAUGGGCCCGCGGCCUAUCAGCUUGUUGGUGGGGUGAUGGCCUACCAAGGCGACGACGGGUAGCCGACCUGAGAGGGUGGCCAGCCGCACUGGGACUGAGAUACGGGCCAGACUCCGCAGGGAGGCAGCAGUGGGUAAUAUUGCACAAUGGGCGCGAGCCUGAUGCAGCGACGCCGCGGGAGGGAUGACGGCCUUCGGGUUGUAAACCUCUUUCAGCACCGACGAAGCGCAAGUGACGGUAGGUGCAGAAGAAGGACCGGCCAACUACGUGCCAGCAGCCGCCGUAA
This 478-nucleotide ribosomal RNA is filed under the name uncultured bacterium. RNAcentral's name for it is "partial 16S ribosomal RNA". It matches the Rfam family "Bacterial small subunit ribosomal RNA", at positions 28 to 523 of the family's 1533-position model. The record is from RNAcentral.